CAAUAGCGUAUAUUAAAGUUGUUGCGGUAAAAAAGCUCGUAGUUGGAUUUCUACCGAAGAUAGCCGGUCGGGUCUUCGACCUUGUAUCUGGUUUUGUCUUUGGUAUCCUCAUAGGGAACGUUUCUGCGCUUUAUUGCGUGGUGCGGUAUCUAUGACUUUUACUUUGAGGAAAUUAGAGUGUUCACGGCAGGCAAACGCCUUGAAUAUAUUAGCAUGGAAUAAUAACAUAGGAUCUUCGUCCUAUUUUGUUGGUUUCUAGGGCUAAGAUAAUGAUUAAUAGGGAUAAUUGGGGGCAUCUGUAUCAACGCGUCAGAGGUGGAAUUCUUGGAUUGCGUUGCGACAAACUACUGCUAAAGCAUUUGCCAAGGAUGUUUUCAUUGA
This 381-nucleotide ribosomal RNA is filed under the name uncultured eukaryote. RNAcentral describes it as "partial 18S ribosomal RNA". It matches the Rfam family "Eukaryotic small subunit ribosomal RNA", at positions 592 to 976 of the family's 1831-position model. The record is from RNAcentral.